UCAUCUUUGUCAUCGCCGUUGUCACCAUUAUUUUUUCUCAUCCUAUGUUCUCUUGAUUUGUUGACUAUCAUCUGCAGGCUAUGGAUCAAGCUUCAGAGAAAGGUCUAAUUUUCAUUGAUGGAUCUGGACCCACAUAUGCUACUGCCACAGUAAGAAUAUAUCUCUUACGGUAACUCUUCCUCUUUCUGAUGCUAGUCUCUAUUACUGUCUGGGAGAAUAAUAACCAGAUUUAACUUUAUGGUGUUAACACGCAUGCGUCACAUUACGCUUAUUUUUCCCUUUUCCCAACUAUUUUUGGUGUUUUCUGCUGGGUGUUCGUCAGCCAUUGUAACAACCCAUUAGGUCGUUUUGGGUACUAUAGCUUCUUAUUUCAUAAAAGACUCUUCUGAUAAAUUCUAAAUGGGUAUUUUGGACUAUUCGUAACUAUAGGUAUAUAACUAAUGGGGUAAUUUUAAUAAUUAAUUUAGUCGGUGGUUAAAGAAAAUAACAUUAAAAUUAGUAGUGAGCUUAAUUGGUCAUGUAUAAUAAUUAGGGUAAGAAAUAAUCUGUAAAAGAAAGAAAAGUGAAAACUAGGCGAGAAACUUUACUUGCGGCGUCUAACAAGGAAGACCGACAUCGAGGUAAUGUUUUGAAUCUUCAAUGUCCUUAUUUAAUGGUAGGGGGUUAAGUAUUAUAUAAUAAUAUUUCAUGGUUAGAUAUGAAUUGAAAGUGGGUGUUAGCGGAUGUGCUGGGAGUUUGGAUUUUGAAUAAGAAAGUGAGGGUGAUAAUGAAUUGGUUGAUGGACUAAUGAUUAGCCAAUCAUUGACUUGAUAAAUUAGGCUUAUAGUAUAUGAUAAAUUUGGGUUAGAGUUGUUGCCACUACUUUUCGAUGCCAAUGACUUUAAUCUUGAAUUUUAUUACGUUGUCAUCAUAUUAUAAAUUGAGAUUUAAUAUAUUGAGAUAUGUAAUUAAAUAUUAGGUGUAUUGUAUAAUUUGAAUAUCAUUAAAGUGAUGAUAAUUAGAGCAAUUGAGACUUAUCCUUAGGCUUGAACUUUAGGAAAGUGACUAGAUUUGGGUGAGUUUUUGGGUCUAGGCUAGACAUAUAGUAGUAUGGGUGUCUAUAGACUCGUUUACUUAUGAAUUAUGCAUGUUUAAUAGAUUGAAAACGUUCAGAGGCAUUGAGGAAAGGAAAAGCUUUGGAAAAAUUAGCUUGCACGACUUCGAUUCCUCGGUCGAGGUAGGUUAUGAUUUAUUCUAUGUGAUAGAUAGACAUAGACUCUUAAUAUUGAUUGAUAAUCAUUGAGUGAUAUGGUGAAUUUCUCUAUGUACUUGGUUGUGUGGUUUGGAUAAUCUGUGUUGUUUGUGAUUGGUCUGAAAUCUUGAGACCGUGAAAUUUAUAAUCUUGAACCUUCUCUAUCGAAGUGAUGCCUUGAAUAAAGAAGGCUUGAUGAAAUAUUGUUAAUGAAGUUAAAAGUGGUGAUAAUAAAUGAUAAAUUAACGAUAUAUUUGGAUCGGGUGCCACGAGCCGACACGAUGUUAUUUGAUCAGGUGUCACGUUCCGGCAAGACAACAUUAAAGGAAAACAUAUAUAAACAACGUAAUGUACUAAAAAAAAAAACGUAAUGUACUCAAUCUCAAAAAAAAAAAGAAAAAAAACUAAUAUGCAACGAGUAAUAGUAUAAAAUCAACUAUGACACUUAGUAGGUGGCAAGCAACAACCAACAUGAACAAGUGACAACAACACUAAAGUAAGUACGUAAUCAGUCAACAAUAUCAAGAGCACACAUGGGGACUCAUGCCUCCAAACUAAGCUAUUUUAGGAAUUGAGUUCUUUGAGAUUGAGUACAUUACAUUGUUUAUAUAUGUUUUCCUUUAAUGUUGUCGUGCCGGAACUGACACCCGAUCCAAUAACAUCGUGCCGGCUCGUGGCACCCGAUCCAAAUAUAUCGUUAAUUUAUCAUUUAUUAUCACCACUUUUCACUUUAUUAACAAUAUUUCAUCAAGCCUUCUUUAUUCAAGGCAUCACUUUGAUAGAGAAAGUUCAAAAUUAUAAAUUUCACGGUCUCAGGAUUUCAGACCAAUCACAAACAACACAUAGAUUCUCCAAACCACACAACCAAGUACAUAAAGAAAUUCACAAUAUCACUCAAUGAUUAUCAAUUACUAUUAAGAGUCUAUCUAUCACAUAGAAUAAACCCUAAUCUACCUCCACCGAGGAAUUGAAGUCGAGCAAGCUAAUUCUUCAAAACUUUUCCUUUCUUCAAUGCCUUCGAACGCUUUCAAUCUAUUAAACAUGCAUAAUUCAUAAGUAACCGAGUCUAUAUACACCCAUAUUACUAUAUGUCUAGCCUAGACCCAAAAACUCACCCAAAUCUAUAGUCACUUUCCUAAAGUUCAAGCCUAAGGAUAAGUUUCAAUUGCUCUAAUUAUCAUCACUUUAAUGAUAUUCGAAUUAUACAAUACACCUAAUAUUUAAUUACAUAUCUCAAUAUAUUAAAACUCAAUUUAUAAUAUGAUGACAACGUAAUAAAAUUCAAGAUUAAAGCCACUGGCUUUGAAAACUAGUGACAACAACUCUGAUCCAAAUUUAUCAUAUACUAUAAGCCAAAUUUAUCAUAUCAUCAACCAAUGAUUGACUAAUCAUUAAUCCAUCAACUUGUUAGCUUUGAUAAUUGGCCCCAAAUAAUUAUUCAUUAAUUUUGGCUACGUUUAUUGUCCAAAUUUAUGUUGUAGAUCUAUUUUUUUUGGUACACUUAAAAAAACCUAAAAAGGAAAAAAUAAAUUUUGAUAAGUCAAAUUGCUUAAUUCUCCCAAGAGAAAAAACUUUAUAUUAUUUUUGGUGACUUUCCAAACUAGAAAUUCUUCUUUAUUUUAAAAAAUAAAAUUGGAGUUAGAGAAAGUGAAAAUGGAGAAGGGGAUUACAAGGUAGGGUCAAACCCUCACCAAUAAAUUGAAAAUUCAGCUAGUCAACCAACAUAGCUACUAAGAUUCUCCAACUAGCAAUUCUUUGUAUGUUACGAUCUUUAUUUCUCCAAGAGUUUGUAAGAUUAUUUAUAAUCUCUCUUCAAAUGCAUAUUUUAUCCUUCAUUUCCAUCAAGUGUUUAUAAUUUUCACUAAUAGCAAUAUGAGAGUGAAAUUAUAUAUCCACAUUGUUUUAUUAUAAAUUGACAGCAAAAAGGUAAUAUGCUUAUUGGUAUCUUUAAUUAUGCUAUGUUUAUGUAGGAAUUUUUUUUUAAAUUUUUUCAAAUAAGAAGCUGAAGAAAGAAUAAAGUUAAAUGAAGAAAAAAGAGAUGAUAAAUCCUAAUGACAAAAUGGAGAAUAUUAAUCAAGAUUUCAUAAAAAUUCUUGAUGUGGUGAGAUCUCACAAGCAUUAUUGUCUUUUAGAAUCUCAACUUCUCAGAAAGGUAAAUACAUUGCUAAUCUAUAUAUAUGUUGUGGUUUCUUAAACUUAUAUUUGUACUUUAAUUAUAAACUAAAACUUAGACAAUUAAAAAGAAUGCUUUCUUUCUUCUAUUUCAUGUGACGUUCUUUCCUCUUUAAUCUAUUAUAAAAAAAACGUAUUUUCUUAAUUGAAACAUGAUGAAGUUUGAACCUCAUAUCUUUUUAUCUUUAAAGACAUGUUUACUUUGACUCUACAUGGAACAAAGAGUUCUAAAACUUGUGGUCUUAGAUACGUUGUAAUAAUUUUGUGACUAUAAAACUUCUCACUAAUGAUAAAAUAAAAAAUGUAUAGCUUGAUUAUUUUCAAAUAUAGACAUAUGUCAUAAUUUUUAAAUAGAUUGAUAGUAAAAUGGUGUUACAUAAAAUCGGAAAUAAAGGAGUAUCUGACAUGUUUAACACCAAAAGUUUUUUUUUCUUUUUAAACUCAUUAUUAUGAGGUCAAAUUUACAGUAUAAGGAUCAUAAAACAUGGAUUGUAUAUUCGUUACUAGUGCUAAUAUUUUUUUUUUUCCAAGAAGAUAUAUAUUAUACUAAACAAAUUAAGCAGCAUAUGGAUAUCUACAUUAUUCAAAACAUGUUAGAACAAGAUAGGUUUUUCGAACUUGGAAAAUGCCAAUUUCUUUAAAGAUAUUUUAUUCAUUUUCAGCAACGUCAUUGUUUAUUACCCGAAUGAAACUCUUCAAUAUUUUAUCGCGCCUGAACUCAUCGCCAUUAUUGUGAGAAACCCUAAUUAUGUCGCGAAAUUGUGUGUGGAUUAGCAGCAGCAGGCAAACCAAUGUUGGCCAAACAAAAAUUCGAGAACAGGGCAUAGUAUGCACAUAACAAAGCUCAAGAAGGUGAGUCGUUGGUGAGGAGGAGUACGAGAGUGAGAAAUAAGGCUUGCGAAUUCAAGAACGAUCAGGAUAAUGAUUGCAAAGGGAAACAAAGAAGAAUAACAAAGAAAAAAUAAGAAUAUUUUGGAAAUAAUGAGUGAAGCUUACUAGAAGGUGGUCAAAUUUAUAGAUGUUUUUUUAGGUGUAUUAAAUUUCUUUUGUUUUGUAGUUAUGGUAAUAUUUCAUAGUUUAUUAUCAAUGUAGAUUGUAGACUAUAAUUAAUCUCCUAACCUUAUUUUAUAAAGAAAGAAAUAAAAAUAAUUAAAUGUAUAUAAGUUUUAUAAUCAAUAAAUAUGUGUACUAACUAAUUAUAAAAUUACUAAUCAAUAAAUGACAUGUGUCCUAUUUGUGCACUUAUCACUUGUCUUCAAGUGAGUGUGCACACUCUCUAUGCCAUGUUAGUGUGUGUAGUAUAUUUAUUCCAUUUUAAAUUAGUUGGGGGGGGGGGGGGGAUAAUAGGACCUAGUUAAAUUUAGGUGUGUCUCUGAGAUUUCGGUCACAAUCCACAGGGGUACUUUUGCCUUAUCCCUUUUGUAAUUUAUGUAACCUCUAGGCCAUUUAUCUACCCAAUUUAAUACCCCACAAUCUUCCUUUUUAUUGCAAGAAAGAAUGUCUCCACUACAAAUAAUGAUGAUCUUACUUUUUUCCGGUGUAUAAGAAAAUAUAGAGUGCAUAAAAGUGAGUAAAAAAAAGUUCUUAUUAGUUGAAGGGAGAUGUUCUUUUUAUGAAGCUUUGGAUUCAAUUUUUGUCUCAUAUUUGUUGACUUGUACUUUGAGAUUGAGGUAUGUUGUCCGGAGAGGACAAGUUAAGAAGAUUAUUGCUGGACUGGUGAAAAGACUUGUUGCCAUGGGCUUAAAUCUCCUUAAAAAGAGCAAGAUAUAUAUUCAUGUCUCAACCUAGAAAUUUAUUUUCUUUAUUUUAUUUUCAAUUGUAAUUUUGUAAUUUCACCAACAAAACUACUUGACUUUCCCAUAUUAAUAUAUAUCAUCCUGUAAUUUUUUUUAAUUUUUUUUUUAACAAAAACUAUACUAUCUAAUCAGUUGAAGAAUAUCUACGCAUAAACCUAAAUUUGUUUUCUCUAUUGCUAUUUUAUUGUCAUAUUUUUUUCCCUUACAACCAUGUUAUGAACUUUUCUUUUGAAUCGUGGGUCUAUUAGAAAUAAUAUUUUUAUCACACAAAGAUAUGGGUAAAAUAUGUGUACAUCUUAAUUCUUACCCCCCUCAAACUCACUUGUGAGAUUAUACUGAAUGUUCACUACUAGAAAAACCAACUUCCAAAGAGGUCUGAAUAAACCCAUCUUUUGAAUUGUGGAUCAAUUAGAAAAAAACUCUUUAUCCCGCAAAGAUAUGAAUAAGAUAUGUGUACAUCCUACCUCCUAGAUUCAACUGUAAGAUGAAUAUGUUUUUCACUACUAAAAUUUGAUAUUGGGCAAGACUUCAUUAACAUCAAGUUAUGGUGAUGUUAAAAAAAUUGAUUAUAAAUCUCGACAAAUUUCCUUACAAAAAGUCAGGGUGAUCGUCAAAAAUUUGUCCACAAACCUGGAUGAAUCACCAUAAUAUUUUCAGCAUUAACGACAAUAUCAUAUUGUUUGAUUUAUCUCUUGAUAUAUUUGGGAUAGUUCUGAAGGAAGUGGAACUGAUACACUCCCUACUAGUAUUGUUGAGCUCUGUCCAUUUAUACUUUGUAAUUUCAUCAUUCUCUUGCUAUUAAAUUAAAACUAUGCUCUUGAAAACUCAACGAUAUAUUAAUGUGUGUGUAGAACUUUUCCAGCCCAUUUCAAUGGUAUGUUUUUUCUUUACUAAUCAUGAAUAGCUUGGUUCUACAGGUUGAAAUCUCUCUUUUCGAAAGGGUUAAACACGGUGAAGUUUGGCAUUUUAGCUAAGCAACUUUGUGAUGAAUUAACCAAUUAUGGGAUAAUGAGUGAUGAACUUGUAGAAGUGGUAGCUAUGAGAAAGAAAGUCGUGAAGGACACUACGAUAGCAAUUUGGAAUGCUAGUUUAUCCAUUAAUAUUUUCUUAAAUGUAUUUUUAAGGUUAGUUAACAUUUCUCUUUCUUGACCUUUCUAGUAAGGUUGUAACUUAAAGAACUCUUAAUUACCAUUCCUAUAUUCCAUUGUGCUAAUCUAGGAAUUCUUCCUUUUUGCCCCCAUUCUUUGUCCUCAAUUAAUUGAAAUGUUUUUAUUUUUCAAGUUA
RNAcentral lists this long non-coding RNA (6483 nucleotides) under Solanum tuberosum (potato). RNAcentral's name for it is "long non-coding RNA (STUB_LNC001285)". Lineage: Eukaryota; Viridiplantae; Streptophyta; Magnoliopsida; Solanales; Solanaceae. The record is from RNAcentral.